This 491-nucleotide ribosomal RNA is filed under the name uncultured bacterium. RNAcentral's name for it is "partial 16S ribosomal RNA". It matches the Rfam family "Bacterial small subunit ribosomal RNA", at positions 29 to 506 of the family's 1533-position model. The record is from RNAcentral.
AGUGAACGCUGGCGGUAGGCCUAACACAUGCAAGUCGAACGGCAGCACAGUAAGAGCUUGCUCUUACGGGUGGCGAGUGGCGGACGGGUGAGGAAUACAUCGGAAUCUACUUUUUCGUGGGGGAUAACGUAGGGAAACUUACGCUAAUACCGCAUACGACCUACGGGUGAAAGCAGGGGAUCUUCGGACCUUGCGCGAUUGACUGAGCCGAUGUCGGAUUAGCUAGUUGGCGGGGUAAAGGCCCACCAAGGCGACGAUCCGUAGCUGGUCUGAGAGGAUGAUCAGCCAAAGGGGAACAGAGACACGGACCAGACCCCUACGGGAGGCCGCAGUGGGGAAUAUGGGAAAAAGGCGGAAAGUUGGAACACGCUAUGCCGGGGGAGGAAAAAAGGCCUUCGGUUUGAAAAGCCCUUUGUUGGGGAAAGAAAAGCAGGCAGUUAAUACCCCACUGUUAGGAGGGAACCAAAAGAACAAGCACCCGCUAACUUCGG